GGGUCUGUAAUGGUUUCGACGGGGUGGCGAAAGCUUCUCGUUGAUUCAGGUCGAGAGUGAACCUAAUCUCGUAAAUCAAGGUUCAAACAAAUAAUAACUGCAAACAACAUUGUAGCAUUCAAGCGUCAAGCAGUAGCUGCUUAAACUUUUUUCGUACGCUUCUCUCUAAUGUGACUCCGUUAAGCAUUAGAGAGCAACCCCCAACGGAUGCUCUAAUAAGUUCCCUUUGGUGGACUUAUUAGAAAAGACUUUACCAAAGCAUCCCACCGUUCGGGAUAAUGAACGGUCCCUGCCUCAAGGGUUAACGAGGCUAAACCUGUGAACGAUGCGGGGGUAAAUACCCAUUUCGGACGGCAGUUCAAUUCUGCCCAGAUCCAUUA
Molecule: transfer-messenger RNA, 380 nt
Filed under: Nostocaceae
Lineage: Bacteria; Bacillati; Cyanobacteriota; Cyanophyceae; Nostocales
Also listed under: 1 other name
Description: Rivularia sp000316665 Standard tmRNA
Rfam family: transfer-messenger RNA
About the family: Bacterial tmRNA, also known as 10Sa RNA or SsrA, is named for its dual tRNA and mRNA-like properties. Its role is to liberate the mRNA from a stalled ribosome.
Source: RNAcentral